This 25-nucleotide non-coding RNA is filed under the name Mus musculus (house mouse). Lineage: Eukaryota; Metazoa; Chordata; Mammalia; Rodentia; Muridae. The record is from RNAcentral.
UCACUCUGUAAGAUGACCCGUCCAG